UACGUAGGGGGCGAGCGUUGUCCGGAGUUACUGGGCGUAAAGCGCACGCAGGCGGUCUGUGAAGUUUGGAGUGACAGUUGGUGGCUCAACCACCAAAGUGCUUUGAAAACUGAUAGACUUGAGGGCUUCAGAGGGACACGGAAUUCCGGGUGGAGUGGUGAAAUGCGUAGAGAUCCGGAGGAACACCGAAGGCGAAGGCAGUGUCCUGGGGAGUACCGUGACGCUCAGGUGCGAAAGCUAGGGGAGCGAACGGG
This 254-nucleotide ribosomal RNA is filed under the name uncultured bacterium. Its description in RNAcentral is "partial 16S ribosomal RNA". It matches the Rfam family "Bacterial small subunit ribosomal RNA", at positions 524 to 776 of the family's 1533-position model. The record is from RNAcentral.